RNAcentral lists this small nucleolar RNA (223 nucleotides) under Vulpes vulpes (red fox). Its description in RNAcentral is "Small nucleolar RNA U3 (ENSVVUG00000030220.1)". It matches the Rfam family "Small nucleolar RNA U3". From Rfam's summary of the family: Small nucleolar RNAs (snoRNAs) are involved in the processing and modification of rRNA in the nucleolus. There are two main classes of snoRNAs: the box C/D class, and the box H/ACA class. Lineage: Eukaryota; Metazoa; Chordata; Mammalia; Carnivora; Canidae. The record is from Rfam by way of RNAcentral.
AAGACUAUACUCUCAAGCAUCAUUUCUACAGUUUGUUACUAGAGAAGUGUCCUAAACAGGUAGAGCGCUGGAAACCAUGAGGAAGAGAGGCAGUGUUCUCUCCUGAGAGUGAAACUGGCUCUUCAUGUUGCUUCUGCAACUAUUUUUGUCACCGAUGAUCUUUCUUUUCUUCCUUUGUGAGAGGGAGGAGAGUGGCUUUGUGAGAGAGAGCCUCCUGAGGGGC